AUACGGAGGAUGCGAGCGUUAUCCGGAUUUAUUGGGUUUAAAGGGUGCGUAGGCGGAUUGUUAAGUCAGUGGUGAAAAGCCAUCUCUCAACGAUGGUCGUGCCAUUGAUACUGGCAGUCUAGAGUUCCGUUGCCGUGGGAGGAAUGAGUAGUGUAGCGGUGAAAUGCAUAGAUACUACUCAGAACACCGAUUGUGAAGACAUCUCACGAAGCGGCGACUGACGCUGAGGCACGAAAGCGUGGGGAUCGAACAGGAUUAGAUACCCUGGUAGUCCACGCAGUAAACGAUGAUGACUAACCGUUGGUCUUAUCAGAUCAGUGGCCAAGCGAAAGCGAUAAGUCAUCCACCUGGGGAGUACGACCGCAAGGUUGAAACUCAAAGGAAUUGACGGGG
RNAcentral lists this ribosomal RNA (393 nucleotides) under uncultured bacterium. RNAcentral's name for it is "partial 16S ribosomal RNA". It matches the Rfam family "Bacterial small subunit ribosomal RNA", at positions 523 to 918 of the family's 1533-position model. The record is from RNAcentral.